UACGUAGGACCCAAGCGUUAUCCGGAAUUACUGGGCGUAAAGAGUUGCGUAGGUGGCAAGGUAAGCGGAGUGUGAAACCUUAUGGCUCAACCAUAAGACUAUGCUCUGAACUACCUAGCUAGAAUAUGGGAGAGGUAGCUGGAAUUCCUAGUGUAGGAGUGAAAUCCGUAGAUAUUAGGAGGAACACCGAUGGCGUAGGCAGGCUACUGGCCCAUCAUUGACACUAAGGCACGAAAGCGUGGGGAGCGAACGGG
This 254-nucleotide unclassified non-coding RNA is filed under the name uncultured Patescibacteria group bacterium. RNAcentral's name for it is "contains 16S-23S intergenic spacer region". It matches the Rfam family "Bacterial small subunit ribosomal RNA", at positions 524 to 776 of the family's 1533-position model. The record is from RNAcentral.